Micropterus dolomieu (smallmouth bass) is the source of this 1502-nucleotide long non-coding RNA. RefSeq lists it as uncharacterized. The transcript has 2 exons. Lineage: Eukaryota; Metazoa; Chordata; Actinopteri; Centrarchiformes; Centrarchidae. The record is from RefSeq and is a predicted model, not a curated record.
CAGUUUUGUUCAUUUCUGGUCUAUGAAAACGGAAGUGUCUAGAGGGUUUAGUGCUGUUGAGAAUGACAGUGCUGGAAAACAAACAAAAAUAACCCAGAGACUCAGACUUAUUGCAUCACUGAGUACGGUACAUUUCCCAGGCGUGAGCGCACGCUGCUGAUGUCAUAGGCAAAAGUCUGGUCGAGACCGGAGCCGACAGACGAAUGUUGGGUCCAGUUGGGGAAAGAAAAACGGCAAGCGAUGACACGCGCGUCAUCGGGAAGCUCCUUCAACAGCUUCUCACCCAGCAAAUCCAUCUGUAAAUCAAUCAGAAAAGGAUGAAUUAGUCACUUAGCUAUCUGUAUGCUAAUGCUAAUUUGUCAGAAAAUGUGAUCUGAUGUUCAUCUGAGUCAAGGGUAUGUCUUUAUUGAGAACAACCAAAAAAAUCCUCAUAGUGCUUGUGGAAAAAUUAUGUGAAUCCUUGAGUUAAUGACCUCAAAAAAGCUAAUUGGAGUCAGCUUUUAGCACACCUGGUCUCGUUAAGUCUCGUUAAGGAAAUGAGUUUGGAGGUGUGGACAAUAGCUUCUUUGACUUAUAAAAAACCCUCGAAAUUUUGGAGUCUGCACUGCGCAAGAAGCACACGCUUAUGUGAGUCAUGCCUCGCAAAAAAAGAGCUUUCAGAGGAUCUACAAUCAAGAAUUGUUCAUUUACAUGAAGCUGGCAAAGGUUACAAAGUGAUUUCAAAGACUUUAGAAAUUCACCAGUCUACAGUGAGGCCAACAUUCUACAAAUGGAGACACUUUGGGACUGUUGCUACUCUACCAAGAAGUGGGCGCCCAGUCAAAAUGACACCAAGAGCACAAUGAAGACUCAUCUAUGAGAUCUGCCAAGCGACCAGUUCGUCCCUCAAGCUGCUUCAUGACGUUCAGCGUCUGAUCUUUGCUGGAGGGCAAAUAAGGAACCUGUACCACAGUACAAUCUUAGUCAAUACAUGUGGCAUGUAGUACAGUACACUACUUUGAAAUCAAGUUGGUGAACUAGAUAUUGAAGAUAAAUAGGUGAAGUCUCUUUAAUCUGUCUUUCACAGUGCCCAAUACUGUAGGCAGAUCUUUAUGAUGUGAUGCUGAAUGGGAGAAUUACAACCUAAAAUAAAAUGUGAAAGUAAUUAAAAUCUUAACGUCUAAUAUUUAUGACACUGCAACCAAACACUACAGCAACAUGACUUUCUUUUUCAUGGGAAAACAACUCCACAUGUGCUUCAUAAUAGAAAACCUGACUGAAGUAAAUUUGAGUGCUAUAACCUUGAAUCUGAUCUCCCACUCACUGGCAGUGGAACUGUUCCACAAUAUCUGUCUGAAUGAUACAUUCAGCAGGGCUUUGAGGUAAACUGUGUUUAAUCUGUGUGAUCAUGUAAAGUUCGACUUUUCUCCUAGCAUAACAUGUUUUGUGUGAGAUAUAGCUGGCAGGAUAAACAAAAUAUCGUGUCCUUAAUCAGAAAAAACACAGGUCAGAGAUAUAUUAAU